GAAGAAUCCAACUUUUGAUAGCAAAUGCUUAUGGAGAUUUCUGCUGCUAGUACAGCAGAUCCAUUCUUGGACUGUAAAGAUCAUACUUUUGCUAUCUGUGCUAUUGAUUCCUCUCUCCCUUCCUAAUUUCACCCCCUUUCAUCUUAGAUAUUUAGUGCAUCCACAGCAGAAAGGCUGUGAAACUCAACUAACUGGACUAGGAAAUGUUAGAAACACAGAGCACAAGAAGACUGGAGACCUGGCCAAGGAAUCUCAAAGCAGUCCUGCAACACUUACACAUGGAGCUAUGAAUAGUCUUACCACUGGGUGGAAUGUAAGUUGGUAUUAAAAUCUUUGGUAGGGGUGCCUGGGUGGCUCAGUGGGUUAAAGCCCCUGCCUUUGACUCAGGUCAUGAUCUCAGGGCCCUGGGAUCAAGCCCCACAUUGGGCUCUCUGCUCAGCGAGGAGCCUGCUUCCCCCUCUCUCUCUGCCUGCCUCUCUGCCUACUUGUGAUCUCUGUCUGUCAAAUAAAUAAAUAAAAUCUUUAAAAAAAAAUCUUUGAACUAAUAUGACAUUGUUUUGUAGAGCUAAACAUAUGUGU
Molecule: long non-coding RNA, 579 nt
Filed under: Mustela putorius furo (domestic ferret)
Lineage: Eukaryota; Metazoa; Chordata; Mammalia; Carnivora; Mustelidae
Description: lncRNA (ENSMPUG00000029192.1)
Source: RNAcentral